This 253-nucleotide ribosomal RNA is filed under the name uncultured bacterium. Its description in RNAcentral is "partial 16S ribosomal RNA". It matches the Rfam family "Bacterial small subunit ribosomal RNA", at positions 524 to 776 of the family's 1533-position model. The record is from RNAcentral.
UACGGAGGGGGCUAGCGUUGUUCGGAAUUACUGGGCGUAAAGCGCACGUAGGCGGCUUUGUAAGUUAGAGGUGAAAGCCCGGAGCUCAACUCCGGAACUGCCUUUAAGACUGCAUCGCUUGAAUCAUGGAGAGGUCAGUGGAAUUCCGAGUGUAGAGGUGAAAUUCGUAGAUAUUCGGAAGAACACCAGUGGCGAAGGCGGCUUCCUGGACCGACACUGACGCUGAGGCGCGAAAGCUAGGGGAGCAAACGGG